This 253-nucleotide ribosomal RNA is filed under the name uncultured bacterium. Its description in RNAcentral is "partial 16S ribosomal RNA". It matches the Rfam family "Bacterial small subunit ribosomal RNA", at positions 524 to 776 of the family's 1533-position model. The record is from RNAcentral.
GACGAACCGUGCGAACGUUAUUCGGAAUCACUGGGCUUAAAGCGCGUGUAGGCGGUCUGUCGCGUCGAAUGUGAAAACCCGGGGCUCAACCCCGGGCCUGCAUUCGAUACGGGCAGACUAGAGUUCGGUAGGGGAGUCUGGAAUUCCUGGUGUAGCGGUGAAAUGCGCAGAUAUCAGGAGGAACACCGGUGGCGAAGGCGGGACUCUGGGCCGAUACUGACGCUGAGGAGCGAAAGCGUGGGGAGCAAACAGG